UACGUAGGGUCCGAGCGUUGUCCGGAAUUAUUGGGCGUAAAGGGCUCGUAGGCGGUUUGUCGCGUCGGGAGUGAAAACCCGGGGCUCAACCCCGGGCCUGCAUUCGAUACGGGCAGACUAGAGUUCGGUAGGGGAGUCUGGAAUUCCUGGUGUAGCGGUGAAAUGCGCAGAUAUCAGGAGGAACACCGGUGGCGAAGGCGGGACUCUGGGCCGAUACUGACGCUGAGGAGCGAAAGCGUGGGGAGCGAACAGG
Molecule: ribosomal RNA, 253 nt
Filed under: uncultured bacterium
Lineage: Bacteria
Description: partial 16S ribosomal RNA
Rfam family: Bacterial small subunit ribosomal RNA
Source: RNAcentral